Long non-coding RNA from Bactrocera dorsalis (oriental fruit fly), 9147 nucleotides. RefSeq lists it as uncharacterized. The transcript is spliced from 2 exons. The record is from RefSeq and is a predicted model, not a curated record. NCBI's taxonomy places the organism in Eukaryota, Metazoa, Arthropoda, Insecta, Diptera, Tephritidae.
UAUAUCACUAUUUAAGUUGGGUGUACACAUUUUGCAUGUACUUGAACUUGGCCUGCCUUACAUUUUCUGUUUGUAUGCUUUUGUUGUUACUGUACGAAAUGACAACACUGUGACGUGAAUAUAACUCGUGUCUCACUUCAAAACAUGGCAAAAUGUAUAACGUGGAACUUAGAAACGACUUCAAUUGCGCUCUCUGCGAAUUCAAGCUCCUCAAACCUUACCAAACGGACGUAUUUUCGAAUAUACAUACACAUCUAGUAUACAUAUACUGACAUACAUAUGUUAUUACACAUAAACAACACAUAUACAAACGUUCAAUUACAUGAUCCACUCAAAGAAUUAAAUAAAUAUUUUUAAAUAAAAGUGAAAUACGCUAUAAAACCUACAUCUGCAUGUGUCCGUCCGUAUGUGUAUAUGUAUGUAUACAUGUGCAACGUGCUCAUCAUAAUUUCGCAAAAUGCUGUCGAGGCGAAUGAGAGUGAAAAUUACAAACUAUCACAGCGAGCAAUAAAAGAAAUAAUUGUAAAAGCGAGUAACUAAGAACAUUGAGAGCAGCGGCAGAUAUAAAAAUAAGUACAUAUGCUUAGUAUAUAUGUAUGUCGGUGUAAAUGCGAAUGUGUGUUCUCACGAUACUCACACAUACUUGCACGUGAGUAUGUGCAGCAAGAUUACAUGAAAUGCCAUUAAAAAAGUACAGCACUAAGCAGGGAGCAGAGGGGACACAGGAAGCCCGUAACACACCAUCGAUAAAAAGCAACAAAACAACAAAUGAUAUAAAAUCAUGCAUGUAUGUGUGUGUACUGGCAGCAAUUAGGUGCGCGAGGAGCGACGCCAACGACGCCAACGACGUUAUUCCCAGUUUCGCCCGAUUCGUGCGCCAGUAGGAAGAGCAACAGCAACAACAACAAGAGCAAUGUUAACGACGACUGAGAGGUGCGCGACGCAGCAGCGGUAAACUACGAAUUGCCAACGAGCAAACCAGUCAAACACAAGUCAGCAACGCGACAAGAAAAGCAAUAAUAACAACAGCGCCAACAGGAACAACAGGCGCGUCAAAUAUGUAUAACAGCAGCAGCAACAACAACAACAACAGCAAUUAGUGAAUAUGUGUAUAUGUAUAUAGGCGACAGUGAACGCCGACUGCACAGUUGACCGCUACGCCGCCGCUAUCAAAACGAACGAUGGCAACGAAGACAACGAAGGCACUACUAAUGCCGACGACGACGACGCAACGACAAGGUAGAAAAUUGAACUUUCCAUUCGGUCUGCUAGCGACGACAGCGGCAUUGAGAACUGAAACUUUUGUGCGAUCAUACCGCAUCGCGGCUGCGACGACGAACCGGAGCGCCGAAAAUGUCAAUAAAUUUUGCCUAAAAAAGUGCUAAGUAAUAAUAAUAAUACUAUUAAUUAAAAAAAAACAACAAUAUCGAAAAUAAACAGUUACAAAAUGUGGAAUGAAAUAGUUUUCCUGUUGGAAAAGGUAUUGUUUUUGCGGAACUGUGUGUGACCUUUUCAAGUACUGCGCAUUUAUUCUGCGAAAGUUGCAGAGAAAUCACGCGAAAUGUUUGAAAAGUAGCGAGUACGUGUAAGGAACGUUCGGGCAAAUAAGCAACACGCUUUGGAAAAUUUUUGAAAAUUUGUGUGUUUCAGCCUGUGUGUUAAUUAACUAAGCCGUUAGCAAGCAAAAAAAUUUAAAUUAAGUCUAGAAAAAUUAAAUACUGACAUUCGAAGCAAAAAAAAAAAAUAACCUAAACGUUAAAAGAAAAAAUUCGAAAAAUCACAAUUUGUAAAUCAUACUAACAUUUGUUGUUGUGGCAGUGCAAAUACAUAUGUAUGUAGUUUUAACAAACCAAAAAUUAUUAAUUUACAAACAUGAAAAAUUACUAAGCAGCAAACAAAUCUAAUGAAACAUAGUGGACAGCUAUGCCAUGCCUAGCGCACAACCCUUGGCAGUGAGCUCCACCACGAUGGACGCAAAGCUUUUGUGGUGCGAUGCGCGUCAGCAGCAGCAACAACAACGACAUUAGUGGCAACACGAAAAUCCAAGCAGUUUAUGACGCAACAGCAAUCAGUGAAAUUAAAUUAGAACCGAAGAGAAAUUCAUCAAAAAUACAAAAGAGUAAGUGUAAAACUGUAUAUAUGUAUGUAUGUAUGGGAAGAUGGCAAUAAUGGAGGCACAAAAAUUAAACGAAAUUGCCAAGGAAAGGCGUGAAUGGAAAACCGAACUUGGUUGGAAUAUGAAUGACGACAACAAAACUAAAGGAAAUGUCGACGACGACGGCGCCGGCAGAAGGGUGGCGCUGCCGAGCGCCAACUGCGCGCCGAGAACAACAGAGAUGUCAGCCAGCAUGCAAAGGGAUGGCGGAAGCAAUUAUUUAAACAGCCAUGACACAUAGAACACAUGCGCUCACUUUCACUUGCGCUCUCGUGUGUGCGCGCUCUCACUCUCCUCGGUUAACUGCGUGCGCUACAAACACAAAGCAAAUGCAAUCACGCACACAACCACAGGAUGCACUCAUAUGCAAUAUUUUUACAUGUGUGAGUGUAUGUGCGUGUAUGUUUCGGCAUUGCAUUCGCCAUGAACCGACAAUUUGAAAGUGAAUUGAGUGCAAUGUGUGAGCCAGCGCGAGUGAGCGGGGUGGUUGCUGCACACUAGCGCGGCGGAAUGCAAGAACAACAACAGCAUACAUUUACAUGUAUGGAUGCACAUUUAGUAUAUAUAAAUAUAUAUGAAUUGCUAGUAUAUAGCGCGCAUAUAAGCAGAAUAAUGUGUGCGUGUAGUUGAAAACAAAUAUGGCGGACAUGCGCAAUUGCAUUCAACUUGAACUUGAAAUUUCAUUAUUUGCCAGCGAUUGCAGCUGCAGCCAGCCAAUACAGCUGCAACAGCAACAGAAAACGAAAAUGAAAACGAACCCGAAACAGACGUCCAUGCAAUCCCAACGUCCACACUACACUACACUCGGCCAAGGAGCCCAUAGGAAACGGCUCCACAUACAUACAUACAUACAUACCAAGCUAUAUAUGGAAAACAGGAGCACAAGGACACAGGAGAUUGCAUAACAUGACGCCAGUGUAACAGAAUAGUCGAAAUAGUGCGAUUGCAUCAGCAACUGCCGGAAUACGCAGCUCCCGAACUGCUGCCAACAGCGGAACUUUCCACCCAGCAGGUAUGUAUUUAUUUGGCAAUUUAUUUCGUGUGUGUUCAGGCGUAAAGUGUAAAGGUCAAAGGUUGAAAUACGAAAUACGAAAUACGAAAGCGUUUGAUGCAAUUGCAUUGUGUUCUUUACUCAAUUUUGUGACGAAAUGCCGAUCGUAGCGUGCCGCGUACGCCAUUGUUGGCCGUACUUGUAGUUUGUCAACGGCGAAAAAAGCUUUCAAAAUGCGAAAACAACAAAACUACAUAAAAAUUUCACUUUUCAAAACUUUAUUACAGCAGCGCACGAAGAGUAUGGCACUAAGAAAACACAAAAGCAGGCGUAAGGAGAAGUGCAAGCAACGGCGAGUGCAGUGGGACAUUGCUUAUAUAUAACUUUGCGCUGAGCGUGAAAGCUCUCGCUUUUGUGUAAACCCACUGAAAUGUUUUAAAAAUACUUAAAUAUGUAUACACAAAUAUAUAUAAAUGUAUAUGCACGUCAAUAAACAGUUGUGAGCGCCAUAAAUUUUGCCUACUCAAAAGCUUUCAAUGCUUGAGCUUUUAGCCGGCAUGUUUUCGCCGCUGUGCUUUUGCUCAAAUUCCAGCUUUUAUCCACUUUUGUCCGCUUUGACGUGGAAAACAACACUUUUCCCCCUUUUUCCCUGUGUGCGUGGGUGUGUGCGUGCAUGUGGUAAGCGCCUAUUUGUAGCCUACACUAAACUCCCAUACACUUGGGCAGCAUCAAAAGUGCGCCGACAAGCGCGCUUCCCACUUUGACGCUGCAAAACGACAGGGAAUGCGCCCGAUUUGUUCGACAUUCGUCACAUAUGUUGAUGUGCUCAACGCAGCUUGUGCCUGAAAAGUGUGAAAAAGUAAAUAUGAAAUUUGAAGUUAAUUAAAAUUAGUUGAAAAGUUGCUUUGAAAAAGUUUUUAAAACCAAAGUAAAUAAAAUUAUAUAUAUGAAUUAUGGAGUAUUUAAUAUCAAGCAUAUUUGACCUUUGCCCUUUACUAUAACUGGAAGUGAACUUCAUUUGCGGCUAUUUGGUUUAUGACGCGUGUGUCACAGCAGUGUUGAAAGGGAACGCUAUUAAUAUAGAAGUAUAUUAAUAUAGAAAUAUACAUAUAUGUACGUAUCAGUUAAUACAUAUGUACAUAUAUGCGCGUGUGUAUGUUUUCGAUCCCUUACCACAAAAAAAUGCGAUUUUGUCGAAGCUCGUGUAUUUGAAUGAACAAUAAAUUUAGCAAAAUUGAUUAAUUGCUAAAAAUAAGUGUGUUGUUGUAAAACAAGAAAAUGACUUUAUUAAAAAAACCAAAAACGACGAGAGAAGCUGUCCAUACGGUAUGCUAAAUCAAGUGACAGCUAAAAUUGAUUUCUACAUUGUGUCUAUGGUUAGAAUAACGCUGACGUCGAUGCAGCAACAACAAGUUGCUGUUAUGUCAUGUUUGUGUGUGGGUGUUGCUGCAGCAAGGACAAUUUACUGAUACGAAACGGAAUACAUAUAGACAAAAUUGUACUAAAAAUUCACGGCAAAGUAUUUCAGCUAUAUACAAAAUAUUUUUAAAUUGAUGGAAAUACUUCCAGGAACAGAAAUAAGCUACUCAGAGAAAACGAAUACAUGAGCGAGCAAUAAUAGAGUUUUUAUUGGUAAUAAGUAAAACGUGGUUCUUAAAAAAACAAUUGAAGCAUUUAUAAACCGAUUAUGAAGUUAAUCGAUAACAACUUACAUAUAAGACUACCAUUUAAAAUCGAUAUACCUUAACUUUUUUGUAACAAAUCCAUAAAAAAUGAUAUUAAAAACUCACGAUAUGCAUAAUAGGCGCUGAAAUUAAAUGACAAUGGUAUUUAAAAAUUAUUUAAAAAUCAAACGGUACUUAUGAUAAACACUGUAGUAUUCUCUAAGCAAGUGUGUGUAAUCGAUUACACUUUAGACCAGUGAAAAGUAUUAAAAGAGUGUUAAAAAUCGAUUAUUACAUUAAUCGAUAACGGUUGGAAGGUAAAAGUGUUGCUGUAAAUCGAUAUAAAAAUCGUUUCAGAAAUGAUAGAUACAUAAAACUCGCGAUAUACAUAAUCGUUUCUGCAAUUUAUCGAUAGCAACUAACUACAAAACGAUUUAUAUCGAUAUACAUACCAUUUUUGAAACAAUUCAUAAAUAAAAUUCUCGAUAUACAUAAUCGUUUCUGAAAUUUAUCGAUAGCAACUGUUUACAGAACUACCGAUUAAUACGAUAAACGAUUUAAUAAUAAAACAGCGCUUAUGGAAAACACUGUAACGUUCUCUAAGCAACUCUGCACGCGAUUAUGAAAUUUAUCGAUAAUAAAUGAUACGCAUUUUACGUCGAUGGAAAUCGAUAUGUAUAAAUGUUUUUAUAAAUAAUCGAUAACAAAUGAAAUGUAAAAAUCUGAACAUAUCUACUUAAUCGUUUUAGAAAUUAAUCGCUAUCAAGCUUUGGAUUUAUACAAGUAUAAUCUUGAAGGCUGCUACCCAGGUUGGGAACCUCUUUUUAUAUUCUUUGCGAAUACUCUUUUUUACAUCCAUUAGCUCAUGCUCUGUUUCUCUUGAUCUGUUCUUCAUAUAUGUAUGCAUGAGAAUUAUUCUUUUACGCCUAUUGACUUAUGAAAAAUAGAUCAGUUCUUCAUAUACCUAAGUAUGUGGAAGUGUAUCAAUCUUAUUUGCCUGGAAGUCCAGUCCGUUAGCUUGAAUGAAGAGAUGCUUUUAUUUAUAUAGACCAAAGACCUUAGCUUUAUCGUGCCUAUAAAGUAUACAUACAUAUAUAUUUGAACGUUGGUUCUUCCAUAUCGGAUGUUUGAAUUUUUUUUGGAAUAUUGAAAAAAAGAAAGAUUCUCCAUAAUUUCUGAAAAUAUUCACCUCUAUACUCAAAAAUAUAUGUAGAUCUUAAGGCUAUACCUAAAAAGAAAGACUCGAGAAGACCUUUUAUUUUAUUGGAAAUACUCUUAAAAUUCUAUAUUGUUCCACAUAGACUGCACUGUUGACGCAAAGAAUAGAAAACACAUAUUUCAUAAUUGCGCGUAACCCUCUUAAAUAACAUAAUCUGAUCUGAGUCGUAUUACAUAUGGGUAUGUAAAUUAAAAGCGUCUCUCCUCGCGUAAUGUACCAUAAUUUACAUUUCAUUUGCGAAAAACGGAAUAAACGCAGUGUGAUAAAUAAUAAUUUGCUCAUAAAAAAAUAGCGAAUAACGGAAAACGAGUAGAAACUACGCUGGCACUAUUUAAAAUCACUCAAUAAAGUCUCAUUCAAAUCGCAUGCUCAUUUGACAUACUAAGCGUUUUAGGUGAACGAGCAAACGAAGCAGAAUUCACUUCGAAAUGAGCGCCGUGCCGAAAAAAGCUCGCUCAAUCACUACAAUUAUAAGAAGCACAAUUUCUUUCGGUUUUUGUCAUGGCUAAAGCACACAUGUGCAUAAACACACCCACACAUGCGCGUAUACAUAGAUGAUUAAAAUACAACUGCAAGGGAAGUGACGACAAGCUAAACUUUCGCCUGAGUUGCUAGAAGGCACACCCACACACACACACACAAGUGGCUGAAGUACGUGCUUAAAGAAGCUCCACGCCUAAGGGAAAGUGUUGUGAAAUGAAAAAUACACCGAAAAUGAAAAAAAAGAAAUCAAUUCAAAAUGAAUCUUAUGCAUCUACUGCCGGGAUACACCCUGUGCUCGCUUCGUAAAUGUUCGUAACCGAGUCAGUGAACACAGCUGGUGGUAUCUCAGUGGUGGUUGCAUGUGUGUCAACGGUGAGCGGCGGCAAUGAAUUAUUAAAAUAUUUGUUUUUGUACACAUAUGUACAUAUGUAUAUGUAUUUAUAUCAAGGGCAGCAGCAGCAACAACAACAGCACUACUCGCAUAGCACAUGCAUAUACAUAUACUGUGUGUAUUUGUGUGCGUGUGCAUCCUGCUGAGCUUUGGUGCACCUGCAGGUGAGUACCCGCCACGCAUUUUCGCUUAUCAUUUUCGUAUAAAGUAAUUUUAUUUUAUUACACAUAAUUAUUUUAUAUAUUAAGUAUAAACACAUUAACAUAUUUUUCGAAUAUUCGUAUAGCAUAAGCUGCAGAAAUUUUUGUUUUUGUUUUUGUCUAAAUUUUAAGUAUGUAUUUUUCUUAGUACAACUACAAUUAAAUAGCUUUAUGCGAAAAAAAAUGUAUUUCAAAAAUAUCAGGAUUUAAUAAAAAAAAAAACAGCUAGAAAUAAAUUAAUUAAAAAAAUACUAAACAAAAUUUCUUUAAAAAAUUAAAAAAUAAAUAAAUUUUAAUUAAAAAAAAUUAUUAAUUAGUUUAAUGCAAAAAAUAUUAUUGGAAAAAAAUGAAUUAUUAAUAAUAAUUGAAAAAAAUCUUUUAAAAAAUUACGAAAAAAUUUACUAAAAACAAAAGAAAAUCAAAUGAAGUUAAAACAUUCUAAAGUUUCUAAUUUUUUUAAUUUUAAAAUACUAAAAAAAAAACAAAAAAAAGAAUCAAUUAAAAGAAUUAAAAAAAUUAAACAAAAAUUAGAAUUUUAGAAUUUUUUUAACAUUAUUUAAUUUUUUUCAGCAUUUUUUUGUAACUUUUAAAAUGUUAUUAAAAAAAAUUUAGAAAUUCUUUUUUUUUUAACUUUAAAAUAAUCUUUUUUUUUAAUGAAAAAAACAAAAGUCGAAAAAUUCAAUUAGUGAAUUUAAAAAAUGCAUAUUUUCAACAUUACUUGUACUUGUUCGAUAUAUUUUUCAGUUUCGUUCGAUUCAUAGCGUUUCAGCGUGUUGCAUUUAACUGCUACUGCAACUAAGAAAAAUUAAAAAAUAAUUUAAAAAUUGUUCAAAUCAACUUAAUUUUUAUACAUAUUUAUUGUUGAAGUACGAAAUUAAUUCAUUAACAAUUAGCGCCUAAGUUCACACGCCGCCUACAACAUUGGAAAAUUGCUCUUGUACUCAUUACCGUACUCGACUCGAAGAUCAUUCAUCAUUCACUUGUAGGUACGAGUAGACCCCGAUGCAUGUGCGCUGCUUUGUGUACCAUAUGUCUGUGUGUGUUUAGUAGAUGCGACAUCUAAGCACUUAUGUAAUUGUCAAUGCCAUUUAGUUGGAUUCAAUUCGUUUCACUUCGAUUCGAUUCAAUUAAUGAAAUUAAAUUGGCGUUUAUUUGACAUGCCCGCAGCGCUUAAAUAGAAUGUUCUCUUCGGAACUCUCAUUGUAAUAUACAUAUACGUAUAUCUGUGUGUACUUUUGGUUUGGUUAGUGGCAUAUGGAACAUAGAAAUUAUUAGCCAUAUAUGUAGGUGAGUGAAAAUUGUGGUUUGAAAAGAAAAAGAAAGCAGUUACUGAAAUCGAAAGAAAGUCUUUUCUAAUGCUUAAAACGCUUUUUGAAAUAUUUUCUGCUCAGUUUCAGUCUAAAGAGUUAGUUCUAGCAUUGACAUUCAGAUCGUAAAUGUACUUCGAAAAUUUUUAUAGCCUACUUUAUAGAUUAUUUUUUCUUGGCUAAUUCAAAAUUUCUAUUUUUUCGCUUCACUUUGCUGACUUGUCGUCGGAAGCGUUUCGCAUUAAUGGUUUUACCCUUUUUAAGACAGAUAACUCAUAAUACAACACGCUUUUUAGAACCCACCAAAUACAGCUGAUCAUUAUCUUGGUGUCAUGCAUACUCACCUUCGUCGUUAACAUGACUGGUUGGUUAGGCUUCGCCUACAACUUUUUACCUCGAGGAUUGUUUUUGGUAUAAACUUCUUUAAAAUGCAAAUAAUAAUGGCAGAAUUCUUACCUACCCUUAUUCUCUUUACCUGUUAUGAGCUCCAGAUAGAGCUGGUAAGCAAAGAAUCUUUUUAUUGUUACGAUUGAUAUGUCUUAUUUUAUAAUACAAUAUUAUCUGUUCAUACAUUCAAAUCUGCUGAAUUCAGUGGUUGAUCGAUGGUAUUCAUUGCUUUUUCGGCUUUAAUUUCGGUCUCAUCGUGGCUCGGUCCUAUAUUUAUUGACCGUCCGUCCCUCCAGAACAAAUUCCUGAUGCAUCUAACCACGAAUAUAAACAAAAAAAAAAAAAACAAA